CAGGGCAUGCUCAGCUACGGCGAGUGAGCGGCAAGAGCUCAAAUUUGAAAGCUGGCUCCUUCGGGGUCCGCAUUGUAAUUUGCAGAGGAUGCUUCGGGUGCGGCCCCUGUCUAAGUGCCCUGGAACGGGCCGUCAGAGAGGGUGAGAAUCCCGUCUGGGAUGGGGUGUCCGCGCCCGUGUGAAGCUCCUUCGACGAGUCGAGUUGUUUGGAAAUGCACUUCCUAAAUGGGGUGGUAAUUUUCAUCAAAAGCUUAAAUUAUGGGCCGGAGACCGAUAGCGCACAAGUAGAGUGAUCGAAAGAUGAAAAGCACUUUGAAAAGAGAGUUAAAAAGCACGUGAAAUUGUUGAAAGGGAAGCGCUUGCGACCAGACUCGCCUCCAGGGUUCAGCCGGCAUUCGUGCCGGUGUACUUCCCUGGGGGCGGGCCAGCGUCGGUUUGGGCGGCCGGUCAAAGGCUCCCGGAAUGUAGUGCCCUCCGGGGCACCUUAUAGCCGGGAGUGCAAUGCGGCCAGCCUGGACCGAGGAACGCGCUUCGGCACGGACGCUGGCAUAAUGGUCGUAAACGACCCGUCUUGA
This 575-nucleotide ribosomal RNA is filed under the name Aspergillus oryzae. RNAcentral's name for it is "LSU rRNA". It matches the Rfam family "Eukaryotic large subunit ribosomal RNA", at positions 69 to 657 of the family's 3401-position model. Lineage: Eukaryota; Fungi; Ascomycota; Eurotiomycetes; Eurotiales; Aspergillaceae. The record is from RNAcentral.